CUAGGAAGGAGAACAGAUCCAAAGCACCACCACUCAAAGUCCUCCACCCAGCAGGAGCAAAGCUGGCAGUUUUCUGCCCUUAGCACAUGGUGCUGCCUAAUGAGGAUACAGAGCCAUCCAGCCCAGAGCCAGCCUUCUGCCUGGUCCAGGAACCGUCUUCUGGCAUGGAGAAAAAUGGCUGAGGAUUGAUGGGUUGGGAGCGUGGUGCCAGACACAUCCUGCUGCUCCAGCUCCUCUUGGAUCUGUCUGGAUCCCCUUCCUCCCUGCCCAGAAUUGUGCUUCCCAGGUGUAAAUGCUAUUAUGAAAAGGCAUAUUUGUGUUUCAUCUCACCUCAGAUGUACAGUAUGUGCUCACAUCCUACACCGUGCGUACAGCCCACAUCGCUCCAGAUCAAGGAGAAGAAAGGAAAAGGGGUAAAAAUAAUUAUCCCCACUCUAUCCUCAAAAACAGUGUUCUAGAGGACUUGGGACCUUAGUGGGGUCUCUG
Molecule: long non-coding RNA, 486 nt
Filed under: Anser brachyrhynchus (Pink-footed goose)
Lineage: Eukaryota; Metazoa; Chordata; Aves; Anseriformes; Anatidae
Description: lncRNA (ENSABRG00000008411.1)
Source: RNAcentral